AGAGUUUGAUCAUGGCUCAGGAUGAACGCUAGCUACAGGCUUAACACAUGCAAGUCGAGGGGAAACGACAUCGAAAGCUUGCUUUUGAUGGUCGUCGACCGGCGCACGGGUGAGUAACGCGUAUCCAACCUGCCCAUCACUUGGGGAUAACCUUGCGAAAGUAAGACUAAUACCCAAUGAUAUCUCUAGAAGACAUCUGAAAGAGAUUAAAGGUUUACCGGUGUAAGAUGGGGAUGCGUUCCAUUAGAUAGUAGGCGGGGUAACGGCCCACCUAGUCUUCGAUGGAUAGGGGUUCUGAGAGGAAGGUCCCCCACAUUGGAACUGAGACACGGUCCAAACUCCUACGGGAGGCAGCA
This 356-nucleotide ribosomal RNA is filed under the name uncultured bacterium. RNAcentral describes it as "bacterial SSU rRNA". It matches the Rfam family "Bacterial small subunit ribosomal RNA", at positions 8 to 353 of the family's 1533-position model. The record is from RNAcentral.